GAGUGAGUGGCGAACUGGUGAGUAACACGUGGGAAACCUGCCCAGAAGCGGGGGAUAACACCUGGAAACAGAUGCUAAUACCGCAUAACAACUUGGACCGCAUGGUCCGAGUUUGAAAGAUGGCUUCGGCUAUCACUUUUGGAUGGUCCCGCGGCGUAUUAGCUAGAUGGUGGGGUAACGGCUCACCAUGGCAAUGAUACGUAGCCGACCUGAGAGGGUAAUCGGCCACAUUGGGACUGAGACACGGCCCAAACUCCUACGGGAGGCAGCAGUAGGGAAUCUUCCACAAUGGACGAAAGUCUGAUGGAGCAACGCCGCGUGAGUGAAGAAGGGUUUCGGCUCGUAAAACUCUGUUGUUAAAGAAGAACAUAUCUGAGAGUAACUGUUCAGGUAUUGACGGUAUUUAACCAGAAAGCCACGGCUAACUACGUGCCAGCAGCCGCGGUAAUACGUAGGUGGCAAGCGUUGUCCGGAUUUAUUGGGCGUAAAGCGAGCGCAGGCGGUUUUUUAAGUCUGAUGUGAAAGCCUUCGGCUCAACCGAAGAAGUGCAUCGGAAACUGGGAAACUUGAGUGCAGAAGAGGACAGUGGAACUCCAUGUGUAGCGGUGAAAUGCGUAGAUAUAUGGAAGAACACCAGUGGCGAAGGCGGCUGUCUGGUCUGUAACUGACGCUGAGGCUCGAAAGUAUGGGUAGCAAACAGGAUUAGAUACCCUGGUAGUCCAUACCGUAAACGAUGAAUGCUAAGUGUUGGAGGGUUUCCGCCCUUCAGUGCUGCAGCUAACGCAUUAAGCAUUCCGCCUGGGGAGUACGGCCGCAAGGCUGAAACUCAAAGGAAUUGACGGGGGCCCGCACAAGCGGUGGAGCAUGUGGUUUAAUUCGAAGCUACGCGAAGAACCUUACCAGGUCUUGACAUACUAUGCAAAUCUAAGAGAUUAGACGUUCCCUUCGGGGACAUGGAUACAGGUGGUGCAUGGUUGUCGUCAGCUCGUGUCGUGAGAUGUUGGGUUAAGUCCCGCAACGAGCGCAACCCUUAUUAUCAGUUGCCAGCAUUAAGUUGGGCACUCUGGUGAGACUGCCGGUGACAAACCGGAGGAAGGUGGGGGAUGACGUCAAAUCAUCAUGCCCCUUAUGACCUGGGCUACACACGUGCUACAAUGGAUGGUACAACGAGUUGCGAACUCGCGAGAGUAAGCUAAUCUCUUAAAGCCAUUCUCAGUUCGGAUUGUAGGCUGCAACUCGCCUACAUGAAGUCGGAAUCGCUAGUAAUCGCGGAUCAGCAUGCCGCGGUGAAUACGUUCCCGGGCCUUGUACACACCGCCCGUCACACCAUGAGAGUUUGUAACACCCAAAGUCGGUGGGGUAACCUUUUAGGAAC
RNAcentral lists this ribosomal RNA (1375 nucleotides) under Lactiplantibacillus plantarum. Its description in RNAcentral is "bacterial SSU rRNA". It matches the Rfam family "Bacterial small subunit ribosomal RNA", at positions 89 to 1449 of the family's 1533-position model. Lineage: Bacteria; Bacillati; Bacillota; Bacilli; Lactobacillales; Lactobacillaceae. The record is from RNAcentral.